Molecule: ribosomal RNA, 459 nt
Filed under: uncultured bacterium
Lineage: Bacteria
Description: partial 16S ribosomal RNA
Rfam family: Bacterial small subunit ribosomal RNA
Source: RNAcentral
CCUACGGGAGGCAGCAGUGAGGAAUAUUGGUCAAUGGGAGAGAUCCUGAACCAGCCAAGCCGCGUGAGGGAAGACGGCCCUAUGGGUUGUAAACCUCUUUUGUCGGGGAACAAAACCCGGGACGUGUCCCGUACUGCGUGUAUCCGAAGAAUAAGCAUCGGCUAACUCCGUGCCAGCAGCCGCGGUAAUACGGAGGAUGCGAGCGUUAUCCGGAUUUAUUGGGUUUAAAGGGUGCGUAGGCGGUCCGUUAAGUCAGCGGUAAAAUUGCGGGGCUCAACCUCGUCGAGCCGUUGAGACUGGCAGACUUGAGUUGGGGAGAGGUAGGCGGAAUGCGCGGUGUAGCGGUGAAAUGCAUAGAUAUCGCGCAGAACUCCGAUUGCGAAGGCAGCGUACCGGCGCCAGACUGACGCUGAGGCACGAAAGCGUGGGGAUCGAACAGGAUUAGAUACCCCGGUAGUC